This 253-nucleotide ribosomal RNA is filed under the name uncultured bacterium. RNAcentral's name for it is "partial 16S ribosomal RNA". It matches the Rfam family "Bacterial small subunit ribosomal RNA", at positions 524 to 776 of the family's 1533-position model. The record is from RNAcentral.
UACGUAGGGAGCAAGCGUUGUCCGGAAUCAUUGGGCGUAAAGCGCGCGUAGGUGGCCUCAUAAGUCCGUUGUGAAAGUCAAAGGCUCAACCUUUGAAAGCCGAUGGAUACUGUGAGACUAGAGUACGGAAGAGGCGAGUGGAAUUCCUGGUGUAGCGGUGAGAUGCGCAGAUAUCAGGAGGAACACCGGUGGCGAAGGCGGGUCUCUGGGCCGAUACUGACGCUGAGGCACGAAGGUCAGGGGAGCAAACGGG